This 149-nucleotide ribosomal RNA is filed under the name uncultured bacterium. Its description in RNAcentral is "partial 16S ribosomal RNA". It matches the Rfam family "Bacterial small subunit ribosomal RNA", at positions 337 to 482 of the family's 1533-position model. The record is from RNAcentral.
UCCUACGGGAUGCAGCAGUGGGGAAUAUUGCACAAUGGGCGCAAGCCUGAUGCAGCCAUGCCGCGUGUAUGAAGAAGGCCUUCGGGUUGUAAAGUACUUUCAGCGGGGAGGAAGGCAAUAAGGUUAAUAACCUGUUCAUGACGACCGAC